GAUGAACGCUGGCGGCGUGCUUAACACAUGCAAGUCGAACGGGAAUUACUUUAUUGAAACUUCGGUCGAUUUAAUUUAAUUCUAGUGGCGGACGGGUGAGUAACGCGUGGGUAACCUGCCUUAUACAGGGGGAUAACAGUCAGAAAUGGCUGCUAAUACCGCAUAAGCGCACAGAGCUGCAUGGCUCAGUGUGAAAAACUCCGGUGGUAUAAGAUGGACCCGCGUUGGAUUAGCUUGUUGGUGAGGUAACGGCCCACCAAGGCGACGAUCCAUAGCCGGCCUGAGAGGGUGAACGGCCACAUUGGGACUGAGACACGGCCCAGACUCCUACGGGAGGCAGCAGUGGGGAAUAUUGCACAAUGGGGGAAACCCUGAUGCAGCGACGCCGCGUGAAGGAAGAAGUAUCUCGGCAUGUAAACUUCUAUCAGCAGGGAAGAUAGUGACGGUA
This 448-nucleotide ribosomal RNA is filed under the name uncultured bacterium. RNAcentral describes it as "bacterial SSU rRNA". It matches the Rfam family "Bacterial small subunit ribosomal RNA", at positions 28 to 477 of the family's 1533-position model. The record is from RNAcentral.